AGGAAGUGUGCCUGAAAGAUAAGGAUCUCCUUGAUAGGGAGAACUAUAGGAGUUCAAAUCCCCUCACUUCCU
Molecule: transfer RNA, 72 nt
Filed under: Nyctimystes pulcher (spurred big-eyed treefrog)
Lineage: Eukaryota; Metazoa; Chordata; Amphibia; Anura; Pelodryadidae
Description: tRNA-Ile
Rfam family: tRNA
About the family: Transfer RNA (tRNA) molecules are approximately 80 nucleotides in length.
Source: RNAcentral